RNAcentral lists this ribosomal RNA (1348 nucleotides) under uncultured bacterium. Its description in RNAcentral is "16S ribosomal RNA". It matches the Rfam family "Bacterial small subunit ribosomal RNA". The record is from RNAcentral.
UUAGAGUUUGAUCCUGGCUCAGAAUGAACUUUGGCGGCAUGCCUAACACAUGCAAGUCGAACGAAAGCUUCGGCCUUAGUGGCGCACGGGUGCGUAACGCGUGGGAAUCUGCCCUUGGGUUCGGAAUAACAGAUAGAAAUGACUGCUAAUACCGGAUGAUGUCGUAAGACCAAAUAUUUAUCGCCCAAAGAUGAGCCCGCGUAGGACUAGCUAGUUGGUGAGGUAAAAGCUCACCAAGGCGACGAUCCUUAGCUGGUCUGAGAGGAUGAUCAGCCACACUGGGACUGAGACACGGCCCACACUCCUACGGGAGGCAGCAGUGGGGAAUAUUGGACAAUGGGCGAAAGCCUGAUCCAGCAAUGCCGCGUGAGUGAUGAAGGCCUUAGGGUUGUAAAGCUCUUUUACCCGAGAUGAUAAUGACAGUAUCGGGAGAAUAAGUCUCCGGCUAACUCCGUGCCAGCAGCCGCGGUAAUACGGAGGGAGCUAGCGUUGUUCGGAAUUACUGGGCGUAAAGCGCACGCAGGCGGCUUUUUAAGUCAGGGGUGAAAUCCCGGGGCUCAACCCCGGAACUGCCCUUGAAACUGGGAAGCUAGAAUCUUGGAGAGGCGAGUGGAAUUCCGAGUGUAGAGGUGAAAUUUGUAGAUAUUCGGAAGAACACCAGUGGCGAAGGCGUCUCGCUGGGCAAGUAUUGCCGCUGAGGUGCGAAAGCGUGGGGGCCAAAAAGGAUUGGAUCCCCUGGUUGUCCACGCCGUAACGAUUGAUAACUAGCUGUCCGAGUUCAUGGAACUUGGGUGGCGCAGCUAACGCACUAAGUUAUCCGCCUGGGGAGUGCGGUCGCAAGAUUAAAACUCAAAGGAAUUGACGGGGGCUCUGCACAAGCGGUGGAGCAUGUGGUCUAAUUCGAAGCAACGCGCAGAACCUUACCAGCCUUUGACAUCCUAGGACGAUUUCCAGAGAAGGAUUUCUUCCCUUCGGGGAGUGGAACACAGGUGCUGCAUCGCUGUCGUCAGCUCGUUUUGUGAGAUGUUGGGUUAAGUCCCGCAACGAGCGCAACCCUCGCCUCUAGCUACCAUCAUUUAUUUGGGUACUAUAAAGGAACCGCCGGUGAUAAGCCGGAGGAAGGUGGGGAUGACGUCAAGUCCUCAUGCCCCUUACGCGCUGGGCUACACACGUGCUACAAUGGCAACUACAGUGGGCAGCAAUCCCGCGAGGGUGAGCUUAUCUCCAAAAGUUGUCUCAGUUCGGAUUCUUCUCUGCAACUCGAGAGCAUGAAGGCGGAAUCGUUAGUAAUCGCGGAUCAGCACGCCGCGGUGAAUACGUUCCCAGGCCUUGCACACACCGCCCGUCA